UACGUAUGGGGCAAGCGUUAUCCGGAUUUACUGGGUGUAAAGGGAGCGUAGGCGGUACGGCAAGUCAGAAGUGAAAGCCUGGGGCUCAACCCCGGAAUUGCUUUUGAAACUGUCGAACUAGAGUGUCGGAGGGGUAAGCGGAAUUCCUAGUGUAGCGGUGAAAUGCGUAGAUAUUAGGAGGAACACCGGUGGCGAAGGCGGCUUACUGGACGACUACUGACGCUGAGGCUCGAAAGCGUGGGGAGCAAACAGG
Molecule: ribosomal RNA, 253 nt
Filed under: uncultured bacterium
Lineage: Bacteria
Description: partial 16S ribosomal RNA
Rfam family: Bacterial small subunit ribosomal RNA
Source: RNAcentral